Molecule: long non-coding RNA, 481 nt
Filed under: Phoenix dactylifera (date palm)
Lineage: Eukaryota; Viridiplantae; Streptophyta; Magnoliopsida; Arecales; Arecaceae
Description: long non-coding RNA (PDAC_LNC011076)
Source: RNAcentral
AGUCCUAAUUGGAUUAGGGUUUCUUAAGUCCUAAUUAAUUAUUAAUCUCAUGAAUCAACAUGACUUCUAAUUGGGUUAGGAUUGAAGAGUUCAAUUGAGUCAUGGUUCAUUCAAGUUCUAAUUGGAUUAGGACUAACAAAGAUUGAACCCGAUUGAUUUAUGAUUUGGUUAAACCCUAAAUUAGAUUAGGGCUAAACCAUGAGAGGGACACCUAAUCCUCCUUGGAGGAGGAUUAGGUUAACCAGGUAAGAGGGGAAUGAGCCCCUCUCAUCUUCAUGGGUGCGGCAACACAAGAGGCGCCGACGCCCCUCUUGGAAAAGAUUUAGGGCUCCUAAUUUGUAGGAGCCCUAGGUACUUUAAAAGGAGGUGAAAAGGGGGCGGCGCCCUAGAAUUGAUGCUCUCCUCCUUGCAGCCGUGGCCUCCCUCUCCUCCUUCUCCAUCUUCAGCCGCAAGCAAAGGAAAGCAAGGGAAGUUUUGUUUG